This 902-nucleotide ribosomal RNA is filed under the name uncultured bacterium. RNAcentral's name for it is "bacterial SSU rRNA". It matches the Rfam family "Bacterial small subunit ribosomal RNA", at positions 9 to 916 of the family's 1533-position model. The record is from RNAcentral.
GAGUUUGAUCCUGGCUCAGAAUGAACGUUGGCGGCGUGGAUUAGGCAUGCAAGUCGCACGAGAAACUAAUUAGCUUGCUAAGAGGUAGACAGUGGCGCAAGGGAGAGUAACGCGUGGUUACUUGCCCUCGAGACCGGGAUAGUGUCGGGAAACUGGCAGUAAUACCGGAUAACAUCUUCGGAUCAAAUGGUGUGAUUCCGCUCGAGGAUAGGACCGCGUACUAUUAGCUUGUUGGUGAGGUAAUGGCUCACCAAGGCUUCGAUGGUUACCGGGUGUGAGAGCAUGGCCCGGCUCACUGGGACUGAGACACUGCCCAGACACCUACGGGUGGCUGCAGUCGAGAAUCUUCGGCAAUGGACGAAAGUCUGACCGAGCGACGCCGCGUGCGGGAUGAAGGCCCUCGGGUUGUAAACCGCUGUCAGUAGUUAGGAAGUCCAUGAGGGUUAUCUCUCAUGGUUGACCGAUCUUCAGAGGAAGGACGGGCUAAGUUCGUGCCAGCAGCCGCGGUAAGACGAACCGUCCAAACGUUAUUCGGUAUCACUGGGCUUAAAGCGUGCGUAGGCGGCUUGGUAGGUGAGGUGUGAAAGCCCGCGGCUCAACCGUGGAAUUGCGUUUCAAACCCCCAAGCUCGAGGAAGAUAGGGGUGAUGGGAACUUAUGGUGGAGCGGUGAAAUGCGUUGAUAUCAUAGGGAACACCGGUGGCGAAAGCGCAUCACUGGAUCUUUUCUGACGCUGAGGCACGAAAGCUAGGGUAGCGAACGGGAUUAGAUACCCCGGUAGUCCUAGCCGUAAACGAUGAACACCGGGUUGAGGGGACUUCCACAUCCUCUCGGCCGUAGCGAAAGCGUUAAGUGUUCCGCCUGGGGAGUAUGGUCGCAGGCUGAACUCAAAGGAAUUGACGG